CCAAUAGCGUAUAUUAAAGUUGCUGCAGUUAAAAAGCUCGUAGUUGAAUUUCGGGACUAAUAUGUUGGUCGUGCCUCGGUACGUACUGAAAUUUUUGGUUUCUCCCUUCUGACGAACCUUGAUGUCAUUAAUUUGGUGUCUUGGGAAAUCAGGACUGUUACUUUGAAAAAAUUAGAGUGUUUAAAGCAGGCUCACGCUUGAAUACAUUAGCAUGGAAUAAUGAAAUAGGACGUUUGAUUCUAUUUUGUUGGUUUCUAGGAUCGACGUAAUGAUUAAUAGGGAUAGUUGGGGGCAUUAGUAUUCAAUUGUCAGAGGUGAAAUUCUUGGAUUUAUUGAAGACUAACUACUGCGAAAGCAUUUGCCAAGGAUGUUUUCAUUAAUCAAGAACGAAAGUUAGGGGAUCGAAGACGAUCAGAUACCGUCGUAGUCUUAACCAUAAACUAUGCCGACUAGGGAUCGGAUGAUGUUAAUUUUUUAAUGACUCAUUCGGCGCCUUACG
RNAcentral lists this ribosomal RNA (499 nucleotides) under uncultured Glomeromycotina. RNAcentral's name for it is "partial small subunit ribosomal RNA". It matches the Rfam family "Eukaryotic small subunit ribosomal RNA", at positions 591 to 1092 of the family's 1831-position model. Lineage: Eukaryota; Fungi; Glomeromycota. The record is from RNAcentral.